ACGGAAGGCAGCAGUGAGGAAUAUUGGUCAAUGGGCGGAAGCCUGAACCAGCCAAGUCGCGUGAAGGAUGAAGGUAUUAUGUAUUGUAAACUUCUUUAGCAGUGGAGUAAUAAGGGGCUCGUGAGCCCUGAUGCAAGUACACUGAGAAUAAGGAUCGGCUAACUCCGUGCCAGCAGCCGCGGUAAUACGUAGGGAGCAAGCGUUAUCCGGAAUUACUGGGUGUAAAGGGAGUGUAGGCGGGACUGUAAGUCAGAUGUGAAAUAUGCCGGCUCAACUGGCAGACUGCAUUUGAAACUGCGGUUCUUGAGUGAAGUAGAGGUAAGCGGAAUUCCUAGUGUAGCGGUGAAAUGCGUAGAUAUUAGGAGGAACAUCAGUGGCGAAGGCGGCUUACUGGGCUUUAACUGACGCUGAGGCUCGAAAGCGUGGGGAGCAAACAGGAUUAGAUACCCUGGUA
Molecule: ribosomal RNA, 454 nt
Filed under: uncultured Ruminococcus sp.
Lineage: Bacteria; Bacillati; Bacillota; Clostridia; Eubacteriales; Oscillospiraceae
Description: partial 16S ribosomal RNA
Rfam family: Bacterial small subunit ribosomal RNA
Source: RNAcentral